RNAcentral lists this ribosomal RNA (253 nucleotides) under uncultured bacterium. RNAcentral's name for it is "partial 16S ribosomal RNA". It matches the Rfam family "Bacterial small subunit ribosomal RNA", at positions 524 to 776 of the family's 1533-position model. The record is from RNAcentral.
UACGGAGGGUGCGAGCGUUGUCCGGAAUCACUGGGCGUAAAGGGCGCGUAGGUGGCGCGGGCAGUCAACGGUGAAAGUUCGGGGCUCAACCCUGAAUCGGCCGUCGAUACUCCCGGGCUUGAGCACUGUAGAGGCUAAUGGAAUUCCGGGUGUAGCGGUGGAGUGCGUAGAGAUCCGGAAGAACACCGGUGGCGAAGGCGGUUAGCUGGGCAGUUGCUGACACUGAGGCGCGACAGCGUGGGGAGCAAACAGG